This 16384-nucleotide long non-coding RNA is filed under the name Linum usitatissimum (flax). RNAcentral describes it as "long non-coding RNA (LUSI_LNC002850)". The stretch from base 263 to 566 matches the Rfam family "Plant signal recognition particle RNA". Lineage: Eukaryota; Viridiplantae; Streptophyta; Magnoliopsida; Malpighiales; Linaceae. The record is from RNAcentral.
UGGAAACUAAACAAAUCGCAGUUGGUGGUGUUUCUGCUUCUGCACUAGUAUGCAAAGCUAACUCCACAGCUUCCAAUUCGAUUAUCAACGGCUCGUUGUUGAUUAACUUAUCAAGAAAUUCUCCAACACAGUCUCCAGCUAUAGGUUUUUUAUUAUGCUGUGAUGUUUCUCAGUUUCUGGCUAUAAAGCUUUCACUGUACCACAUUGGUUGUUUGGAAGCUGGGGUAGCUCUUUAUAUUGUUCCAUGGGCUGACGAGAGUUCGCCGAGUUCAGUAGCGAGAACUUGUCAUCCAAGUGGAGGCAUUAAAGUUAUGGGACGAUGGUCAUUUCACAUGGCUGGGCUUUGGUUCUGGUUUAACUCUGGCCCGCCCGCUCCAAGCCUGAAGUUGGACCUGGGUGUUUCAGUGAAGACUGAUGCGACCUGGUCCGUAGAGUAGAGGGCAAAGCGUGAGGCUGGUUUCACAGAGCAGCGAAGACCUCUCGCUUCCGGCAGUGGAAGGAUUACGGGCCCGUGCCAGCCAAGUCCAUAUAGCCAGAUGGGCUCUCCAAUCUGGACCACAACUUUUAAAAAAAUCAUACAUUUUUUCACAAUAAUUAUCGUUUUUCUCAUCUAAACCGUCAAAUUGUAGUAAGCUAUAAAAAUACAUAAAAAUCCAACUCAAGAUUAAUAUUAUCAACAAUCUCGUUGAUAUCUUCAACAACUUCCUCGUCUAAACUGCAAAAUCGCUCCUUUUAAAUAUGUUCAAGAAUUAAUCUUCAUUUUAAUUUAUCAAGUUGAUAAUUGAAUUAUUUUCAUUAUACAUUCUUAAAAACCAACGAAAAUCAUUUAUCAAAUUUACGAUAUAAUCUGAAAAAUAGCAUGUUUCACAACUCUAAUAAAUCCACACUGGACAAAUUAAUGAAAUAAUUUUCGUCACCAACAUCACAUAAUAAAUUAUUAAUCUGUAUUCCUCAUUUGAUCAUCUACAUUUUAAGAGAAAAAUAAUCAAACAUAAUCUCUCGAUAUAUAAAAAAAAAAUUAAAAAUAGGGGAGGGUUCAAACGCUCUUUAUUAACAUAAAAUAAAAUAAAAUAAAUAUUAUAAAAAAUUCAUUCAUGAAUUAAAUUCAAAACAUCUAAUCUACCAUGCACAAUUUUAUCAUUAGAAGUUCGGUUCUAGAAGAUAUCACCAAAAUAUAAUUUACAAUCCCAUCCACACAUUCUACCGUUCUUAAAGAAUUAAAAUGGGCUUAGUUAGCCGUCUCUACAUGGGCCUUUUGGAGGCCGAUAACAAGGGAGUUAAGCCCAAUUAAUCUUCAAAAUUAUCGGUAAACCGUGCAACUUCUUCUUCUUCUCUUGUUCUCCAGUAGCUUCCUUCAUUCAUUCGGUCCCGGCAAAGAAGACAUAGAGGAGAUGGAGAAACCGAGGAUGGCGAUCGUGGCCUUGAGUCUACUCGCCUUGUUGGGUUUAUCGGCGGCAAUCGAGUCACCCCAGUACUCGGUCGUCCACGAAGAAUCCGAUUUUGAGAUCAGAUUGUACAGAGAAUCCAUAUGGAUGACUGCCCAUGUCGAUGAACUUUCCUUCCAGAAAGCCACUUUGCUCGGCUUUCACAGGUAACACAAAAAUUCCUCCCCAGACCCACUUCUUUCAAGUUCCUUGUUCUUGCUGACUAUAAAAUUGGGGAAAACCUUCCAAUUCCCCUGGUUUGCUUAGUUUAGGAUAAGCAGAAAUGAUCAGUCACCCCACUUUCGGUGUUUCGAGCAUCAAGAUAGCUUAUAUACUUGUGAUCUUUUCGAAUUCGGCUCAGUUCAAUUUUUUAUUUUUUUUACUGUGAUUCAGCGAUUCAGUGCUUGGCCAUGUCUGAACUAGUUAACCAGGAGAGUCACCGAGUACAAAAUUAUAUGUACCUACUUAUCGGUAAUACUUCCUGUGUGUGCUUGGAAAUGAAUCAAUGAUAAUACUUCCUGAUCAUUUGACAGGCUGUUCCAGUUCAUCCAAGGAGCCAAUCUGAACUUUUCCAGGGUUCCAAUGACAUCUCCAGUAGUGACCAGCAUAGUUCCGGGGUCCGGUCCAUUCCACUCAUCGUCCUAUUCGGUUCGAUUCUACUUGCCCCUCAAGUUCCAGGACGACCCACCGACCCCUCUCCCGCAGCUGGAGCUGAAACCAUUUGAAUGGGAUGCCCACUGUGUCGCUGUCAGGAAGUUCUCUGGGUAUGCAAAGGAUGAAAACGUCGUGAAAGAAGCUGAGAGGCUCGCUUCAAGCUUGAGCAGGUCGCAAUGGGCUCUUCCAGCAGACGAAAUUACCGGGUAUGCCUAUUCGAUCGCGCAGUAUGACUCCCCUUUUCAUUUCAUCGGGCGUGUUAAUGAAGUGUGGGCUGAUGUUAAAGGCUCUGUUGAGGACGGCUGUGGUUGUUCCAGUGGGCUAGCAGCAACUUACUAAACUAUGGAAGUUACCAUGUUCAGUGGAUAUGUGUUGUAUAUAUAUAUGUAAUGUGGUCUUUUAUCUUACUUUGAUCAGUGUUUAUCUGAUCAAGAUGAGUAGAUUUGUUGUUGCGACUAUAUCAUCGAAUGUUUUCUCUGUGAAUAUAUGCUGCGAUUCUCAUUAGACACGUAUACUGUUGGAAUAAAAAGUGCAGAAAAGCUCGCAUAUGAACCAGGGAGAACAAAUCUGAACCAAUCGGUUUCACAAUUUGUGUUUAAAGAUUUUAAUAUCUUGUUACCCAAGAAUCAAUUCUUUGGAUAGAUGAUCAUCCCCUCACUAUUGUAAUUGUACCAAUACUUGAAACAACAGUGAACUUAAGUACACAGCGAACAAUUACAUGGCCUUGUUUGAUGCAAUUUUGAAGAGAGGUGAGCGCAUGAAAGUUUUCGCGGAGUUUUUAUGCAGUAAAUUCCGUGAUAAAAAAUUGUUCAGUUUAUUGUAUGGUUUGUCACCACCCCCUAUUUCACUUGUUCCCGUUAGAGAACUGCCUAAUUUGGUAUUUCUCUAUGUGCGGUUGCUACUCCACAUCAUCGGAUUGAUCAGGUGAUGAACUAAAUUCACUGCAUUACUUGAGUUACAGUUUCUCUAAUGAAUGAUUUUAUUUAAAAACACGUUGUAUUACUUCUCCCAAUUUGACCAAAAUUUCGUUUCUUUCUCUAGAAAAUUCUUCAUAAUGUUCUACUUAUGAUAUUGUGCUUCAGGAUUACAUACAAAUUUAUGCUCAAUUUCUCAAGUUUUCUUUUAAUCUUCCAAAUCAAUGGAACAUUUGCAUGGUUUUGAACUGCCUAGGUUUCCGUCAAUUUUAUGCACUAUAUGAACCAUGAUUUACGUCCCCAUAUUGUUUGUUCAUACUCACAUUGGCAUUAUAUGACGACAUAUUAUAGCUCGUAUGAUAUCCCUAAUCACGUGUCGUACUAAUCAAAUUUCAGUAAAGCUAUUGCAAAGUAAACUUUUUCAUAUGGGAGCUAUCUAAACCAACAAAAAUAAAAUGUUAUUAAUUUGUGCUGUUAUUUUUGGAGUAGAAAAUUAAAAAAAAAACAACAUUUUUGGGAGUGGAGAAAAAGGAAAAGAAAAAACAUGUUCCUUCUUCCUCAGCUCUUCGUCUCCUUCAAUCUCUUAUGGGAAGACUUGUUUUUAUUUUAAUCGCUGCUUCUUUUUUACCCUCCCCGGAUCUCCUUCUCCUUGCUUCUUCUUCUGCAUCAUCUUCCUCUUUCCGGAUCUCCUGUUGCACGUGAGACUUCUCCUCCGUCUCCUUCCAUCCUUCUAACGGAUCCUCGCUCUCGCUUCUUCGCACUUUCCAUCUCCUUCCUCUGCCUGAACGCUAGGGUUUCUGCAAAAACUGUUUUCACCAUAAGUUUGGAUAAUUUCUAUACGAUAUAGGCGGUAAAGAUCGUUGCUCAUCUCAGGCGAGUAUUUCCUCCUCUCCCACUCCUUUUGUGAAUUUCAUUAGCUUUGGCUAUCGAUUGAGGAUCGACGGUGUGGCUGGGAAGAGAAUGGAGUAACUUGAAAUAUUCUACGUAGUAGUAUCUAUAAUUGAUGGAUAUCGUGGUGCGAUGGAAGUUUUUCUGUUUCUUGCUUUGCUUUGGUGGGAAGUGCUACACCUAGCAUUGAAUAUGAUCUGGUUUUUUUAUUACGCGACCGUUGUUUUCUUCUUUUGUGCUGCAUGACGCGACCGUUGUUGUUAACACUGUUUUGCUUGUACUAUCCAUCAAUAACUUCGCAGAGGCUUGAAUUGGUGAAUGGAAGUUGGAAGUCUUUUUCUCUUUUAGGAAGUUUGGGGUCUGUUUGUGGUUGGAUUGUGGAUAUAGUUUCCGGUAGUGAUGCAGACUAAGUUCUAGCUACAAGCGAGGCUGCUUUGAUAAUUGAUACUGGAUGCUCUGGUAUUGCAUGAGUCAUUCUCUAGCCUACUUCCUGUGUCCUCUUUCAGCUGCACUACUGCUUAAUUGUUCACUAAGUUGCCCUUUAUACAAUAUUUGUGGUAUGGCAUGCCCUCUUUGUUUAUUAUGUAAGCACUGCUUCAUUAUUUGGUCUAACUUCGGUAUCUCUUGCUUACUUGGUUCUUCUGCUGGUUCUUGAUGUAUAGUGGUUGCAUAUUUUUUUCAUCUCAACAGUUCCUCUUUUGUUAGUUGGUCAUGUCUAUUUCUCGAAAGACUUUUUUUUUUACAGAACUUAAUCCCAUUUUUCUAGGGCGUUGACAGAAAUGUAUGAUGGAUAUUGGCGAUAAGCAAAAAGUGACGCAAAUGUGUGUGUUUCUUUGUUGUGUAGGUAUCUUUAGUGCUUUUGGAUGACCGUGCUACCACAAUACAAUCAUGGCAUCCAGUACGUUGACCGGAGACCGGAGGUAUAUAGCCAUCUGUUUCUUUUUGGUUUGCAUUUGUGAAGAUACAUUUAUCCACAUACUUACGCCUAAGUUAUAUUAGAUAUGUUCUUUUCUAUGCUAAUAUGUAAUUGGAUGACCACUUGUAUCUUGUCACAAACUCAUGGGACUUGGUUGUAGAUUUUCAACAAGAAGAAGUGGUAUGACUGUUUUAGGGAAAGUGGCUGUACCAAAGCCAAUUAAUUUGCCCAGUCAGAGGUAUUUACAAUGACUCUUGCUCUAAUUCUUUCUGAAAUUGCAUGUUGCCUAUCUAAUGUUUUAAUCACAUGUUUCAUAUCUAAUGUUUAAAGGUUGGAAAAUCAUGGCGUCGACCCAAAUGUUGAAAUUGUUCCCAAGUGAGUAGAACGGUUUUAGCAGUCUUGCCUCUUGUCUGACUUGUUAUGUUACUUCCCUUUUGUUACUCUAUAGGACUAUUAUUUUUGGCAUCCUUGCACUCGUUUUUUCAAGUAUGGCAUCUUGCUUUGAUCCUGCAUUAAGAGGUGAUAUUUUAUGACACUUAUUAGGGGGACACAUAGUUGGGGUAGUAAGUCAUCCUCAUCCUCAUCAAACGCAUGGGGUUCUUCUACACUGUCUCCGUCUGAUGGUGGCACUGGUUCCCCUAGCUAUCUCAGUGGCCGUCCUUCAUCUGGUGGAAGUGGCACAAGGCCAUCAACUGCAGGGAGUGAUAGGGGCAAUGAACCAAUUGCUAAUGCGUGGAAUUCAAACUCUAGGCCAUCAUCUGCCUCAGGUUCAGUGACGUCAAAUCGGGCAUCACUUGGUUCGUCCCGUCCUCGUAGUGCUGAAACAAGGCCUGGUAGCUCUCAGUUAUCUCGGUUUGCAGAGCCUUUGUCUGAUAAUUCAGUACCAUGGGGUUCACUUGGGACAGCUGAACGAUUGGUAUGUUUUUAAAUAUAAUCAAUUGAUGGGAUUUCCAUCCUGUUUUCAUGUCUGCAGUUCACCAGCAUUUUAACUAUCUCUCGCCUGUGUUUGCUACUCAUUGCUGUUCUGGUAUACUUUGUCCCGACAGUGAUACAAGUCUGGGCAUAGUAUGUGAUUUUCCUAUUCAUUCCACUUAAAUAUUCGAAAACAGCAUUGGAAGUUGAAAUUUUAUUUUUUUCAGUAGGUAGUAUCACUGUUCACCAUAUGGCAUACAGUCUUGUUCUCAUGUCGAAGGCAGUAACCUGUGUACUCUUUUGGAGUUUAUACUUUAUGUACUUAUAAUGGAACACAAAAGAGUGUAGGGAGAGGAAUUUCAUAUUCGUAGCGACUAGUGAUGCCUAUUAAUCUGAAUAUAAGUUCCUCCAUGCUUUUUUCAACCAUAAAUGAGUAUGACAAGAUACGGGCUUCCUCCUUCAUUCUUUUUCUGGGCCUAUUAUUCCUCUUCAAACCUGAUGACUGUGCAAUUACCUUCGUCAAAUACAGGGGGUUCCAUCUUCGAAAAAUAAUGGAUUUUCACUCACUUCUGGUGAUUUCCCGACUCUUGGCUCAGAAAAGGAAGAUUUUGAGAAGAACACAGAUCUACCAGGUUUUUUUUUGGCUCAGCCAUUGUUUGUGUUAGUGCUUUGAACAGCUGCCAGUUGGGACUUUGUGCUUGAUUGUUGUGGUCUCUUUGUGAUACUGGUAAAUCUACUCUUACUGUGUUUUGAGAUAUGCUUAUAGUUUGGACCACAUCUAAUACCUGUUUAGUACUUUAGUUUAGGUAAGACAAUCAGUUACAAAUGUUUUUCUGCCAUUUUAAGCAGAUGAAAAGUCCUUUGGUUUUUAGUUCAAGUAGGUAACUGCUGGUAUGCAAGGGCAGCCUGUGGAUUAACAUUUUUUUGGGCCAUUUGCAUUGCGAUCUCUUAUUUAUUUGGAUGUUUUGCUGGUUAAUUGAUUUUUUCCAAGAAUUUACCAUCACCAUCUUGGAUGAUAUUACCUAACGCACUUCUUUUGAACCUACGGUCAGUGAUGUUUGACUCCUCGGAUUUUUGGUUAGACUUGUGUUGUCAUUUCUUUUUAUAAUGGGCUAUUUAUUUGCAGAGCAUGGUUAUCGUCGUGAUUCGCCCUCUGAUGGAGCACCAAUGGAAGAGACAAGAGCUGAUGUUGUAGGUUUGUGCUCCACGCUUAACACCUCUUGUACUCACGGCUGUUCCUGAAGAAAAGUACACAUGGCUCCUGAUUGGGAGAUUGUAAUAUUGGUUUUAUGAAAUAAGUAUUUGAUUUCUUUAUCAGGUGAGGAUUAUGGACCUGUGGAUGUGAAGAGUGACAAUGCAAAUGCUUGGAGAAGAGAGGACUCCUUUUAUGUAAAAGAAGGAGUUAGGCCCAAUGCUGAGAAAUGGCAUCCUGAUCCUCAAUCAUAUCCUAAUGCAACUAUGCCUCAACAUUUUGAUGCUUGGCAUGGCCGGCCUGUAAAUAAUCAUCCAGGUGGUGUUUGGUAUAGGGGUCCUCCAGUCGGUCCACCAUUUGGGGCUCCAGUUGGGCCUGGUGGAUAUCCAAUGGAGCCGUUUCCUUAUUACCGGCCUCAGAUUCACCCUGGUGCACAGCCAGGGCCUCCGCCAUCUGCUGGACCAAGAGGGCCUCAUCCAAAACAUGGUGAUGUCUUCAGACCCCCAAUGCAUGAUGGCUAUCUUCGCCCUGGCAUGACGAUGAGACCUGGAUUUUAUCCCGCACCCGUUCCUUACGAUGGAUAUUAUGGUCCUCCAAUGCCAUACAACAAUGUUAGUGAGCGAGAUGUUCCUUAUAUGGGAAUGGCUGUAGGUCCUGCUGCAUAUACCAGAUAUCCAAAUCAAAAUUCUCAUGAGUCUGGCAAUCCCCAUGGAAGAUCGACUGGGUUUGGUUCUAAUGCUAAAGGAUUGGUUUCAGAACAAAUGGAAUCAGGCCAUCCCCAUGACCCUCAAGGCCCGUAUAAAGUUCUUCUUAAGCAACGUGAUGGGUGGGAGGGAAAAAAUGGAGCACAGAUGUGGGAUGGUGACAAGGCAGCCAAUGCCGUGCAUAUUGGGAAGGGAGACCAGUCAAGAAAGUCAAGUUUGGAGAAUGGAUGGAGAACCGAUAAUCUAAAGAGAACUGAAGAUGUUGGAACACGAAGACCGCUUUCUGAGGGACAUUCUUGCACUGUUGACAAUAUAAGUGGUGCUCCAGUCAAACUGAAAUCUGCCGGACAUGGAGGAAAUUCAUAUACACUUGAUUGUUCUGUUGAUAAAGUAUCAGAGCAUGCAGAAGACCGAGAUUCAAUAUCAGAAUCAUUAUCAUUUUCUAGAGACCCCAGUCUUAUUAAGAAAAUUGAAGGGUUGAACGCAAAGGCUCGCGCUUCUGAUAUGCAUGAUGCGAAUGAUAAAAAACAUGAAAGAAUCAGGACGAAUCAUCCUGUAAAUGAAACCACAAGUGUUUCUGUUUCUACGGAACGUGUAUUGGCUCAAGGACUCUCUGCCGAUUCCAAUGAUCAGAGUUCUGGUAGAGAUAAAAGUCUUGACUUGACAAUGACUAGUGGAGCUGCUAUGGCAAGGUGUGGUUUGUGAUUCAAUUCUUACUGCUUCUACUACCUUCGUUAAGAAAACUAAUGUACAGAUGCAACAGGAGACCGACUCAGGCUGUGCAGAUCAGAUCUGAUCAUCGUAAAGGAAGAACUAAUGCUCAGGAUAUUGAUGCUUGGAAGCCAAGACUUCAUGUUGAAGAAUCACAUGAUGGUGUUUCAAGUGCACAUGUAAGUUCGGUUCUGCAGGGGCAAGAUUUGUCUACUGAGGCCGCCGAGAAGUCUGUCCCACAUCUAGGCAACGAUGAGGAGUCAAUGCCACAGGCAUCUGAACCAAUUGAUAGUCAGGCACAGGUAGUCUUCCUUUGUUAUCUGUUUAUGUUUCCUUGUAUGCUUCCUUUUUAUUAGACAUUCAGUAUAGGCUUAUUUAAUGUCUUUACUCUCAGCGAGCUAAGAUGAGAGAGCUAGCUCGACAGCGACUCAAGCAAAGAGAGAAAGAAGAAGAAGAGCGAACAAGAGAACAGAAGGCCAAGGCUCUUGCAAAGCUAGAAGAGUUGAACAGGCGGAUGCAAGCUGGGGAAAGUUCAUCUAAGAAGCAUGAAGCCAUGCCAAGUAGUAAUUUGUUGAAUAAGCCAGAGUUGCUGAAUUCUGUGCAACCACCUGUCGUUGUCAAUGCAUCUACAGAUAAUUCUAUCAUCGCUUCCGACUCAGUUGCAGUUACACAUACUAAUGACAGAACUAUCAACAGAGUUGAAAUACCUACCAUUCUGUCUAAAGAGGUCAAGAAUGUUACUGAAGCACCUGUCAUUAUGCAUGAUCCAUCUAAUUCACUGAAUCUGGAUUCUGGUGCAGCUCAUUGUGAUGAUGUGUUUAAUGAUGUUGCACAUGAUUAUGAAGAAAAGGCUUCGAAGCAAAAGCGAAUGGCCUAUAGGCCAAAGCAGAAUAGUUCCAGCGACAAGGUUGCAACUGGAGCAUCAAAAAGUGAUACUGACACAAUUCUUAAUGCGUCUCUUCCUCCUCAGAGUGCUGCUCAUGAUACUGCUUCAAACCCUGUCAGCCCAAGUGCUACAGCCGAGGUUUCAGCACAUCCUAGGAGAAAAAAUAGGAGUACAAGAAACAAGCAGAGAGUGGAGGAGACAUCGUCAACUGCAGUAUUGCCAAUUGCGGCUUUCAAGAAUACUCCUUCAGAAGCUUCAAAUGACGGUGUCAAACCAAAAACUCCAGAAUCUCUUACAGUUGUUACUUCAGUGCAGCCUGUCCGUGAUUGCAAAGGUGCAAUUCAGCAUUCGGAGCAACAUCCAACAUCUCCGAAUGAAGAUGGCCAGAUCAAAGUAAAUAACCAGUGGAAACCACAACAUUCUCGAAAGAUGCCAAGGAAUUCGCAGGGUAAUAAAGCAAUGGAUAAAUUCCAUGGAAAUGAUACUGUUGUCUGGGCUCCAGUACGGAUGAACAUUAAACCUGAAGGUGCUGAUGAAGGCAGUAAGAAAAGUGCAGUGGAUGUUGCUAGUCUACCUGUAAAGAGCGAUCAGCUGGUGCAUAAUAAUACAAAGAACAAGAGAGCUGAAAUGGAGAGAUAUGUUCCGAAGCCAGUAGCCAAAGAAAUGGCUCAGCAGGGAAAUACUCACCAUUCUGUGGCUUCUUCAACUGUCCAGAUACCCUCAGAUGAAACUGUUAGAAAAUCUGAACCUGUUCCUUUGGCGCCAGAAAGUUCACAAACCACCUUCACCCUUAAGUUUGGAUCCUUUGCCGAGUCUGAGAAUGUGGACGCCAAACAGAGCAAGUCUGGGAAAGUACAUGGGUCGUGGCAUGAACGAUCUUCUGCAGAAAUACAGACUUCUAGUUCAAAUCUGGAUGGGGAUUCGCAGAAGCCAAUCAAGUGUCAGCAAAUUCAGAAGUCAGACACAGGUUCAAUCAAAGAGCAAUCAGGACAAAAUGAUGAAUGGUCAGAUGGAUGGACCAUGCCUGAGAAUCCUGAUACAGCACCAGCAUUUCCUAGUGUAAAAGAUCAGGGAGGUACAUCAAGAGGAAGGCGUCAGCCGCACAAGGGGCAGAGAGGACACAACUACGACAUUGUUGAGAGGAAAACUGGUAAUGGGGCCAAUGAAAAGGUUAAUACCGUUUCUUCCGCUGUGGAGCCGCACCAACCUGCUGCAAUGCUGACAUCAAAAGAAUACUCUGGUGUUGGAGAACGAUCUACAUCCCAAUGGCAACCUAAGUCUCAGUCAACUUCUGCUACUGGCCAACGGGGAAUCAGGCCCAAUGCUGCUCCGGAAGCUAGCAGUAGGCCAAAUAGAAGGAGUUUGGCGUCUGUGCCGCCUCAAACACAGGAGGUAGCUGGAGGGUCAACCGAACAGUACCCGGAUCAAUCUGCCUGUAACCCUGCAGAGGGAAAUUAUGUUGAAGACUUCAAUCAAGGUGCUAGGAGGGAGAGGAAGAUGACUUCUCACAAAGGUCAUGCCCGUAACCCUGCAGAGGCAGCUUAUGCUGCAAAUCCAGAUAACCGUAAUGAACAAUACCAAAACUACUCGUCAGGGUAUCGAAGGGGCGGAAACCAGAAUAAUCAGGUCAACAGGGAUCAAGAGGCUCGUGGGGAGUGGAGUCGAAGCGAGAAAGAUAACAAGCACCAUAAUGUAGCAGCAGGAAACAGGGAAAGGCAGAGACAAGGUACACAUUAUGAGUACCAGCCGGUUGGCAAUAAAAACAAGGGAAAUAACUUUGAGCCUUCAAGAGAUGGAUCUCAAACUUCAGGUCCAAGGUUUAGGGAAAGAGUGCAGAACCAUCCAAGGCCUGGCGAUUUUCAUGGACGUCAAACCAGCAGCAUGCGGGUAGAUACUACUACUACUACUACUACUACUACUAAUUUUGAUUAGAAGGGUUGUUGUUAAUGACAUGGAGCCUCCUCCUUAGUGACUGGCCUCACACGUAUCCGAGCAAGGCAGGAUCUCUGCUUCAAUUACAACUAAUUACUCAGACUUGAGUUAACCGAGGUAGUUUGAAGCGGUUUGAUGAUGAUUCCUUGAUGCUGAUUUGUUUGGUUCUCUCUUGUUUCUUUCAUUCAAGUAAGUGGGUCGUGUGAGUUGAGAACUAGUAAUACCUCAGUAGCAGUAUGGGACCUCUGGGAAUAAUGGUGUUUUGAGGAGGACUCUGUGUAUUCACAAUUCAGUGCUCUCUUUUCAGUUUGUCUAUGUUGUUUGUUAGCUGUUAAGACUUAAGUAUGACAAUGGAACCUUUCCAAAGGAAUGAAGCAAGCAGGAAGGAGGAGCUCAAGCAUCGGCUUCUCGCUUUUGCUUACCAGUAAUGCCGUAUGCAGGUAGGUUUUAUUAAGGUGUUUAUGUUAUGUAGCAAUUUCGACCUUCCUUUUGGUUAUGUUGUCCUUGCCAUUCUCUUUAUCCAUGGCAUCGAUCGAACAUCAUCGAUACUUUAAUGUGUAAUGAAUUGUCCACAGAAAAAUCUCACCAUCUUGCCCCCUUUUUCUAUCCCGAUAAGAGCCAUAGGUCCAAAAGCAUGUUAGUACGUACAUCCGAUCCAAUGAUUAGGAAGAGUACUCAGAGAAGUGUUGCGUUAGGAACAACAUAGUUCUUCUGAGAAGUGAACAAAAUUGAAAAGUGAUGAGCAAUAUUUGCGAUAUAUGCAUCCCAAGCCGUGCGAUUUGAAGGGCCUAGGGAUAGAGAUUUCCAUUGGGGAUUCUGAGAAGAGGGAUGCUAUCGGAGAAGAUAGUGAUGGGACAUUUAGUUUCAACAAUUUAGAAUGCGUCGCAACUCUAACGAUGAUCAGCCAUCCAAAACACUAACGGUUUUGAUAGGAGUGGACGCGGCGCAAUCCAGAUUGGGGGUGCAGUCUUGGCUGUGUUAUUGUCAAUUUGGUAAUUUGAGUUGAAUUUUGACUAAAUUUGUUAUUUCAUAUUAAAUUGUGUAUGCUAAUAUCAAAAUAAAAAGUGAAUGUAGCUACUAAUUAGUAGUUCAAAUUUAAGGGUAUGAAUAUGGUUAUGAAUCUGAAAUGACUAAACUACCCUCCGAAUAUCAGCCAUCUUAUAUUUACAUAUAAUUCUUUUUUUAUAUAAUUUAUUUUGAUUUAAAAUUUUGUCGGCAUUAGAAGUCGGCCACCUCUCCAAUUCACCCAAACGUGAAACACCUUCUCCACCGCUAAAUUAAAAUUAAAAUUAAAAGAAAAACCACCUGUAUUUAACUUUUCCAAUUCCAGAGAGACGAUUUAAAUAUAAAAGCCAGCAACAGUUUCGCAGCUCCUUUUCCUUCUCUUUUCCUUUUAAUCAUCCUUCUUCGUCGUCAACUUUGACAUAUCUCUUUAUCCACUCUUCUUAUCGGAAAUUUCAGCUCUCCUUUCCCCUGGCUUUACCCCCAAUCCCUUCCCCGUAUAUAACAACAACAGCAAAAAAGCCGCUUUCCGUCUCCAUUGCCGUCUGUUUACUUCCUUCGUUUUCUGCCCCCAGAAGGAAAGCUCCGAACGAAAGGCUACCUGUCUUUUUUUAGGGCUUUUCUUGAAAGGGGGCGGAGGCUUCUUUCCAGGUGAUGAAUCCUAGUUGCUAAGGUUUAUUCCCUAGCUCAUUUUCGUCUUCUGCUUUGCUCUGAUUUCGAUACAUGCGUUUUGCCUUGAAUUAGGGUUUCGCCUGAUUGAUUGUGGGGUAAAUUAGGUCUUCUCGUGGUUCUGGGAACUGGAUGGGAACUAUUUUGGGGAUAGAUAGUUGGGGAAAAGUUGAGUAGUAAUUCUGGUGACGGCCCGAUAAGUCUUUUAUAUGUUUUGACGCGAUGGUGACGACUUGUUGGCCUCUCUGAUUCAGGAAACAUGAUGAUGAACAUUUGUACUCGUUUCUGUAGGAUUGUAGCGCCUAGUGAUUUCCCCUGUGUUUUAUCUUAUAUGCUGCUGACUUGCAAGCUCUGCUAUUUCAUUAGGCUUCAUCGGGUAAAUGUGUUGGCGCUUUAAGUGUGAGCAGAAUGGCUUUGGCGACAAAUCAGAUGCGGGUAAGUUUUUAAAUGAAGGCAGACUCAUAUUUCCAGCUAGUUGAUUCUUCUUCAAAAUGGAAAUUCAUGCAUGAGCUGAACCCAGUUUGUAAAUGUCUAUUUUGUGUUUUUUAUAAAAACCAGCUAGAUACGUAGCUUCAUUCAGGUUCGCCUCUGAAGGAGUUGUGUCUUUUGAAAGGUUGGCUUUAAAAUCUCAAUUGUUCAGUUUUGCUUUUGUUCUCUACCAGGGUUCAUAUGUAACAGUUCCCUCGAGACCUUCAUCAUGGACCAAAGGUGUUAUACUAAAGCAGCAUAUCACAUCAAUUCACAUGGUUGGGAGAUUAGAUAGGCGUUCUUCUUUGAAGUGUCAUUUUCGAUCAAGGUAGUCACGGUUUAUUAGUUGUGUGGCAAAUUCUUGCCUAACUUGUCCAAUCUGUUUAUUUGUAAAUCUGUCUUGUAAUUUUAAAAACAUAUCUGUUAAGCAGAAUAGUUUUCACAGUGUAGGGGCUGGCGUUCAUGGGCUCAAAGCAAGACUUCUACGUGUUUCAUCUUUUCAAGGUAGCCCGAAGAAUGAUGAUGCGAGUGACAGAUCAUGCGGAUCCAAAAAAGGUUCAAAGAGUUGUGGUGAGACCCUUAGAGAGCUUCCCAAGGCGCAAAGUUUACCAAUUUCAUGCAGUUCUGAACCAAGUGAAGGGCUCGGAGGAUCUCCUGCUAUUCAUAGAUUAUUCAAGAACUGGUUAAACAUGCUGCAGUCACAUUCAUCAUCAAAUCAAGUGGCGGAUGGUGUUCUAGGGGGACCGGGUGGUCAACCAGAAGAAGUAGCAGCUGAAACUCAAAAUGUCGCUUUAGAGACACAGCCACGUAUCAUUCUGCUGGAUGUUUUCCAUCACUUUUGGCAGUUGAGUGCGACAAUAAAGAUACCGAUACUAAUAUUGUGAGUAUAUUACUUUUGCAAGGUGUUUUUAUCAAUGUGAUAUAUUUUCCUUCAGUUUUAUUCAGUGGUUGUGGAUUGUGAUUCAAAUGAUAUAAUUAUGGAAACAAAAGCUCUAGGCAUGAUUGGAUUAGAAACAUAGUCACAUUUUGAUUUAUCUAAGAUGUGCUUUGGCAAGUACUGACUGGGUUUUCAUGUAUUUGCAGUAUUCCUUUGUAUUUUGCGAUCAACAAGACUUAUGGCGCUGAAGUGACAAAGGAGUUGACUCCUUUGUGGAUUUUGGGACCUCUUGUCGUUGCCCUCUACAUCAAGCUGAUGCAGGGUAUUUCGGCACUCUACUCCUUCAGCUUCAAGCAGACCGUCCGAAUAGUGAAGAAUUUACCUGCUUACUACAAAGUAUCACAUAGCUACAUUGCAGAAGGGAAGCUGAAGCAAGAGAUCGAGACUCGCGUUAUACAACCCAUUGUGAAGAUCAGAGACCAGGACCAUAAACAAAUGGUAAUGGAAGUAAUGGCUAGACUGAAGGAAUGGUUUAUGGAGAAGUACAUCGACUUUAUCGAAGAUAUAUGGCCUCAUUACUGUAGAACAGUUAGGUUCUUGAAGAAGAUGAACUUUAUAUGAAGUUUGAUGGUAGACUGUCGUUGGGCGACAAUGAAAGCUUUCGAAGCUGGGCGUUUGAUGCGGACCAUGUUUUUUUUUUGGAAAAAUGAGAGCUUCUGGAACGGGACAACAGUACGUUUCUGGGGUGGCGAUUCGUCGUCCCAAAGGAUCUUCCAUCAUAUACAGAUAGGGUCUUUUCCAGAAAUAGUGUGUAUGGAUAUUCAAGUUUCUGUCAUUGCACCUCUUCUGUAACGUUGGUCCUUUUGAGAGUUCCAUGAGACCAUGGAACUAUUGUUUUGAACAGCGUUUUUGUUGCUUCGACUAGACUUUAUUCUUUUUUCCAUUACAAGUUACACCCUUAUUUCUAUUCUGUAGUGACAUCAAAUUUAACAGUUCAAUUUAAGCAAUUUGCCCAUUUGCUGGCUUGAUUAUUGCAUUCUGUCCUGGAUAUCCUCACAUUUUGAAAGACAUGUUAUCUCAAAUUUCGUUCUGUCAGGGCCCUAGCAAAUUGUGUCAGCGUUGUAGUUUUGUAAUUUUGCAAAGGUGAACGAGAUGUUGAAGUUAUUGAUCUGUGGUCGACGAGCAAGUUGUAAGGAUGCGCUGACAUAAAAACCAGCUGCGCUAACAUAAGAACCAGCAAGUUUAUGCAAGUCCAGAACUGGUAAUUUGGCCUUUGAGAUGAAUUACAGUCAAUGGGAGAAACUAUUUUGAACCCAAUGGACCAGGCAAACUCACUAGACACAGGACGGAAAACAUGAACCAUCAAAUGUGCUGCAGAAUUUGUUUCACGGGACACAAGACACCAUCCUCGUAGCUCGAUUUCCGCCUCCACUUCGUGAAUAUCGAUGCAAUCUCCCUUUUUGACAAUAAAUCCACCGAACUCUUACAAUCCGAUCCCACAAUAAUCGGCUCCAACCGUUGAUUGAUUGCUUUCCUGAGGCCGAAUAAGAUGGAUGGCUUUUCCUUUGGCAGUAGUUGCCGCCAAUUCACAGCUUCUGAUUUCGCUGCUGCACAAACAACAUUCCGUUCCAGUCUCGAAUUACACAUCCAAGACCUGUCUCGUUUCAAUGAUAAUGGGUUGGAAACCUUUCAACACAUCGUCUGAAGCUACAGGUUGCAGUGUGUUAUGCUGUGAUAACAAAGCUUUCAACUACACCACAUCAUCUGUUGAAUAGAUGGGUGAGUUGUUUAUAUUUUUUGUAGGCUGGUAGUUGUUUGCCGAGUUCAUUAACAAGAACUUGUAAUCCAAGUGGAGGCAUUAGAGUUAUGGGAUAAUGGACAUCUCAGAUGGUUGGGCUCUGGUUUCGGCGAAAGUCUGGCCCGCCCGUUCCAAGUCUGAAGUUGGGCCUGGGCGUCUCAUUGAAAAUCGAGGCGGCUUGGUCCAUAGAGUAGAGGGCAAAGCGUGAGGCUGGAUUCACAGAGCAGCGAGCACCUCUCGCUUUCGGCAGUGGGAGGAUUACGGGCCGUGCCUGCCAAGUCCACAUGGCCAGAUGGGCUCUCCUAACUGGACCAUAACUUUUUUUAUUUUUUAAAGGUCAUUUGGAAUAUGUUCGACUAAUAUAUUUCUAAUAUGAAUAUGUGCAGUGGAUGAUAAUUAACUAGAAAAUUUAUUUUGGCAUUUGGUCUAUGAUUCUC